Molecule: long non-coding RNA, 540 nt
Organism: Helianthus annuus (common sunflower)
Lineage: Eukaryota; Viridiplantae; Streptophyta; Magnoliopsida; Asterales; Asteraceae
Exons: 3
Source: RefSeq, a predicted model, not a curated record
UUGCAUUAUAGAAAUUAUGGCUGAAGGGAAGAGUGAGAUGGAUAAGGAUGUUACGGAGAUCAAAAAGUGGAUUGUAUGAUAUAUGUCGAGAUUAUUAAGUUUUCUCUUUUUGGUUCGAUAAUAACAAUUGGUUCAAUGAUUGGAGCUGUUACGAGCGGAAGAAUUGCAGACACAAUUGUUCGAAAAGGGGAACAAAAAUAAUAAGAUCCUAAAGAUGAGUUUAGAAGUUGUGCGGAUGAGGAGGAACUCAAUAUCGAAGGAACAAUCAAACAUGGUAUAAUGGUUUACCCGGCUGGUUACAAGUUCUAAACUGGGCUGAACCAUUAAAACAUCAAAACUAUAAGCUCGAGUUUGCUAGGUGUUAUCUAAAUACUCUGUCACAUUAUACUUGCUUUCACUAUAUGUGUGUGUAUUUUAGGAAAUAGAAACAAAUUCGCUGCCAACUAGGUGUCUUUCUUUGGAUUUUUGUUUUGCGACUUCACUACUAGAUGAAUUUAUGUAAUGUUACUUUAUUUGCAUUACUACUUUUAUUGAUAUACU